GUAGUGGGGAGUCUCGCCCGAUAGAGGGGGAUAACUACUGGAAACGGUGGCUAAUACCGCAUAAUGUCUACGGACCAAAGCAGGGGCUCUUCGGACCUUGCACUAUCGGAUGAACCCAUAUGGGAUUAGCUAGUAGGUGGGGUAAAGGCUCACCUAGGCGACGAUCUCUAGCUGGUCUGAGAGGAUGAUCAGCCACACUGGGACUGAGACACGGCCCAG
Molecule: ribosomal RNA, 219 nt
Filed under: uncultured bacterium
Lineage: Bacteria
Description: partial 16S ribosomal RNA
Rfam family: Bacterial small subunit ribosomal RNA
Source: RNAcentral